Molecule: ribosomal RNA, 253 nt
Filed under: uncultured bacterium
Lineage: Bacteria
Description: partial 16S ribosomal RNA
Rfam family: Bacterial small subunit ribosomal RNA
Source: RNAcentral
UACGAAGGGGGCUAGCGUUGCUCGGAAUUACUGGGCGUAAAGGGCGCGUAGGCGGAUAGUUUAGUCAGAGGUGAAAGCCCAGGGCUCAACCCUGGAAUUGCCUUUGAUACUGAGGAGCUUGAGUCCGGGAGAGGUGAGUGGAAUUACGAGUGUAGAAGUGAAAUUCGUAGAUAUUCGUAGGAACACCAGUGGCGAAGGCGACUUUCUGGCUCGAUACUGACGCUAAAGCGCGAAAGCGUGGGGAGCAAACAGG